CCUACGGGAGGCAGCAGUAGGGAAUCUUCCGCAAUGGACGAAAGUCUGACGGAGCAACGCCGCGUGAACGAUGAAGGCCUUCGGGUCGUAAAGUUCUGUUGUUAGGGAAGAACAAGUGCUAGUUAAAUAAGCUGGCACCUUGACGGUACCUAACCAGAAAGCCACGGCUAACUACGUGCCAGCAGCCGCGGUAAUACGUAGGUGGCAAGCGUUGUCCGGAAUUAUUGGGCGUAAAGCGCGCGCAGGCGGUUUCUUAAGUCUGAUGUGAAAGCCCCCGGCUCAACCGGGGAGGGUCAUUGGAAACUGGGAAACUUGAGUGCAGAAGAGGAAAGUGGAAUUCCAAGUGUAGCGGUGAAAUGCGUAGAGAUUUGGAGGAACACCAGUGGCGAAGGCGACUUUCUGGUCUGUAACUGACGCUGAGGCGCGAAAGCGUGGGGAGCAAACAGGAUUAGAUACCCUGGUAGUCCACGCUGUAAACGAUGAGUGCUAAGUGUUAGAGGGUUUUCCGCCCUUUUAGUGCUGAAGUUAACGCAUUAAGCACUCCGCCUGGGGAUACGGUCGCAAGACUGAAACUCAAAGGAUUGACGG
RNAcentral lists this ribosomal RNA (588 nucleotides) under uncultured bacterium. RNAcentral describes it as "bacterial SSU rRNA". It matches the Rfam family "Bacterial small subunit ribosomal RNA", at positions 338 to 916 of the family's 1533-position model. The record is from RNAcentral.